Molecule: long non-coding RNA, 1586 nt
Organism: Cyprinus carpio carpio
Lineage: Eukaryota; Metazoa; Chordata; Actinopteri; Cypriniformes; Cyprinidae
Source: Ensembl
UGAGUGUGUGUGUGUGUGUGUGUUUCCUCGAAUGUUCAUUUGGUGGCGCUGUGGCUCCUGUUUGGCCACUUUGAUUGAAAGACUGCGAAUGGAGAAAAACGCAGAACUUAAUCCAUUGGCAUCAGAUCCUGUGUAUGUCUAGCUGUGCAUCAUGGAAAGAAAGGUGUCAAAACUUAAUGCAACUAAAUACAGACAUAAGAAUGAUCAGAAAACUCAAGCAAGCAACUUAAAAAACAAAACAAAAAACAAAGGAACAAACUCAGAGAGGCAGAGGACACCGCUGAACAGCUGAUCUGCCGUUAGCUGCGUAAAUUUCCCUCACGGUGAGCAGCUCCCAGAGCCCAGCUGAAUUAAUCACAGCCACACGGACGCGGGGGAGGGGUGGGGGGCAGCCUGAGGAUGAGGACGGAGAGAAGGGUAGAAGAACCCGUGCUGUGAGAAGAGGUCAGAGCUGGAACAUCCAUGGAGUGAAAGGUAUAAUUGACUUCUGGGCUCUAGACAAGCUGCGGAGAUUUUCUGUUCCAGCUGAACCUCCAAAUAGCAACUCAUUAUAAAGGCUGCUUGUGAAAAUGAACUACUGAACAGAAGCAACAGUGAAGGGAAAUUCACAGAAUAAGUCUCCAGUGUCCUUCAUAUGUCUCUGUCCGACUCUCUCCGAAUAAGCCAGAAGCCCAAUCUGCUUGCUCAUUACACGGCUGGAGUGUUUAGUUGUGUGUGUUUUUUUUUAUAUAUUUCAGACUGCAGGCUGUUACUCACUGUUGACAUCAGACUGCAUUCUGAAAUCAGGAAGUGAUUUCCUGUCUUUCUUGUGGAAUGCAGACGCUUUAUGCUCGAAAAAUUAUAUGGCAGGAAAAAUAUAAUUAUGCCAUUUGUGUCACAGAACAACGAUUUUGCAUUUGACAGCAAUUUAAAGACAUUGAAAAUGUUAGCUGGACAUUUCCAGGAAAAUCUGACUUCACUCACUUAAUAUUCACAGCUGUAAUGGCCAUAUUUGUCAAAAACAUUUCAACAUCUGCCAUUUCAGUCUGACAGUAAGAGCAAUGAAGGUGAAGUUCCCUGAAGUAGCUGCAGAAGUCACCAAACUCAAUUAAGAGAUAUGACAUGGCUUGGUGAACAAUGUUCUCAGAAGAUUAUAGCAACUCAUUCAAGGAAAAAUUGUUACGCAACUCUUGCCAGUUGAAAGUGCAGGGACAGUCGUGCUUCAGAAAGGAUGAGAUGCAUCAAACCAUGUGACUGUACUGUAAGAGCUCUGGAUAUAUGAAACAAGCCUGACAGGAUGAGAGCUGUAAUUUAAUCAUGGGAUAAAAUCUCCAUGUUGAAGCACCUGGGGAAAUUCAGGCACCAUAAAUGGACAAUGGUAGAUAAUUCUGCUUGAAGAAAAACAGCAGUGUUGCAUGCGUCACAUUAUGGAGCCAAUUAGAACUACCUAUGGCUCUCUUACUGCAUGCAAAGAAAGCUGUGGCUCUAUAGCUUGUCAUUUGAGUGAUUGAACCCAAAGCAUUACGCAGCAGCUGAUGUCAGGGUGUGAUUCAGCGGCGGCUGACAGUAUUGAAAACAUGCCAAAUCCAGUGUAGGAUUAUACCAGG